GACGAACGCUGGCGGCGUGCUUAACACAUGCAAGUCGAACGGAAAGGCUCCAGCUUGCUGGAGUACUCGAGUGGCGAACGGGUGAGUAACACGUGGGUGAUCUGCCCUGCACUCUGGGAUAAGCCUGGGAAACUGGGUCUAAUACUGGAUAUGACCUUUCUCCUUAUGGGGUUUGGUGGAAAGUUUUUCGGUGUAGGAUGAGCCCGCGGCCUAUCAGCUUGUUGGUGGGGUGAUGGCCUACCAAGGCGACGACGGGUAGCCGGCCUGAGAGGGUGAUCGGCCACAUUGGGACUGAGAUACGGCCCAGACUCCUACGGGAGGCAGCAGUGGGGAAUAUUGCACAAUGGGCGGAAGCCUGAUGCAGCGACGCCGCGUGAGGGAUGACGGCCUUCGGGUUGUAAACCUCUUUCAGCAGGGACGAAGCGUAAGUGACGGUACCUGCAGAAGAAGCACCGGCUAACUACGUG
Molecule: ribosomal RNA, 467 nt
Filed under: uncultured bacterium
Lineage: Bacteria
Description: partial 16S ribosomal RNA
Rfam family: Bacterial small subunit ribosomal RNA
Source: RNAcentral